UUUUUUUCUAAUGGUGGCCAUAUAUCUAUACAGGUGUGUGGGUGUUUAUGUGCAUUUGCAAGGCUCAGUGUACAUGUGGGUGUGCCUACAUCAAUAUCUGUGUAUGUAUAUAGAACACGAAGAAUAAAGGAUGAUAUUUGUGAUAUGGUCUUAUAAGUUACUGGCUCCCGUAGAAUUAAAUAUAAAGCUUUAUGUGAUAAAGUUGUGACAUACGUAUUAGUUGGCACAUAUUUAAGCUCCAAAUCAGUUUGCUGAAUUAGCCUGAUGAAGCAGUACCAAGUAUUCACAUGUACUGAUCUAUCCAAGACCAAUUGAAAUCCAGACAAACAGAAAAAAAAAAAAAAACCAACCCUGAAGUCCCAGCAAUCCAAUCUUACAUUGAUUGAUAAAUGUAAAUACUCAUUAAUGUUUUUAUUGUAAAUUCUUGAUGCUCAGUCAGUAAUCUGAUUGAAUGCGGUGACAUUUUCCUGUUGUGUGUGUAUUGAUGAUUAUCAAUCAAUAUUCACAAAACAAACUGAUUUCUAGACUUGUGGGUACUGGAGUGUUAUGCUGAAAUAAAAGUAGAAAAAUUCAAAGUAAAUUUGAUUUGAAGUUUUGUUAUGAAGCCAGACAACAUGUAAGGCCAUGCUGUGUGUUCUUUUUAUGCUUAUAAACUGUUAAAAUGUUUUGAAUACAACUUGCUGUGUGUGUGUUUAUGUGUGUCUACAUGAGUGUAUACACACUUGAAAAUGCUUAUUGGCUGAAGUUUACUGUCUGUGUACAUUUGUGCAUUUGUGCCUAUCUGCAUUGGCCUUGCCAGCACCUCUAAUUGUGCAUGUUAGUGACAGACAUGUUUGGUUGAACAAACUCACAGAGAAAUAGUGUGGAAAUCAGAGAUAUGUCAAAUUCAUUAUAGCGAUUGCCUGAUACAGCAUAUUAAACUGUCAGCUGAAAAACAUUUGUAAUCUUGUGCUUGUAACAUGUGUAGGGAAAAACGGGAAAAAUCUGAGACCCUCACUAUAAUUUUAAGGGUGCAUGACAUGUGCUGUCUUUAAAAAUGUAUCUUAUUGUAAUAAGAGGUGAUGGAUAAAUUCUGAGAUGGCGUAAGUGAAGCAUGAAACACUAGGUGUUUGUAUUAUAUAUGGCCACACAAUAUUUUUGAAGCCAGGGUAGUAAAUAUUAGAAGGUUAAUAGGCAAAGAAUAUGGAAGUUAAUUUUACUGUGAUGUGUUUUUGAGGUGUUUUUACAUAUUGCCAGACAAGGAACUUAGUUCCUUUUGUUUUUCUCCUGUGGACUCUUUGAAACACUAUGAAUGUUAUAAAGUCGAAUUUUCUUUAUAAAGGUUGCAUACCAUUUGCAGUUGGAGUUGCUUGGAUGUAUAGUCUUUCCUUUGGGGGGGGGGGAAGUGUUUGGUAUUAAAAUGGUUUAAGCAGCAAUAUAUUAGGAAAUACAUCAUUCAAGGCAAUCUGCAGAAACCUGUAGAGAUGAGAGCUAAUGAAAUGUUAUUGAACUACCGAGUUUGAAAGCUUCCAUGCCCUUCUGCUGUCGUUUCCUCGGAAAAUGCUGUACCUUGUGUUUGACAUGCAACCAUGUUACCCUUUCCUGAACUUACCUUUGUGACACUUAGCAGCUUAGCCAAACCAUGUAAUAAACAGGAAGAACUG
RNAcentral lists this long non-coding RNA (1643 nucleotides) under Mus musculus (house mouse). RNAcentral describes it as "long non-coding RNA chr3:55469673-55471316". Lineage: Eukaryota; Metazoa; Chordata; Mammalia; Rodentia; Muridae. The record is from RNAcentral.